AUGAGCAAAUCCUUGGGACCCAAGCUCCAGGCACUUUAUACAUAUGAAAAGGAGUGCCUCGCCAUCCUCAUGGCCGUGGAUCGUUGGCGCCCGUACCUCCUCACUUCCUCCUCCGUCAUCCGCACGGAUCACCGCAGCUUGGCGUGUUUGGACGAGCAGCGCCUGACCACCCCCUGCCAGCAAAAAGCACUAACCAAACUGCUCGGCCUCCACUACACCAUCGAGUACAGGAAAGGUGAGACCAAC
Molecule: ribosomal RNA, 246 nt
Filed under: Triticum aestivum (bread wheat)
Lineage: Eukaryota; Viridiplantae; Streptophyta; Magnoliopsida; Poales; Poaceae
Description: partial small subunit ribosomal RNA
Source: RNAcentral